RNAcentral lists this ribosomal RNA (511 nucleotides) under uncultured bacterium. Its description in RNAcentral is "bacterial SSU rRNA". It matches the Rfam family "Bacterial small subunit ribosomal RNA", at positions 29 to 518 of the family's 1533-position model. The record is from RNAcentral.
AACGAACGCUGGCGGCGUGCUUAACGCAUGCAAGUCGAACGCGAAAGGGGACUUCGGUCCUGAGUAAAGUGGCGCACGGGUGAGUAACGCGUAGAUAACCUGUCUUCAUGUCUGGAAUAAUACGCCAAAGGGGUACUAAUACCGGAUAUUCUUGCUUUUCAUAAGUUAUGCAAGCAAAGGUGGCCUCUGCAUAUGCUACUGCAUGAAGAGGGGUCUGCGUGCCAUUAGCUAGUAGGUGGGGUAAUGGCCUACCUAGGCGACGAUGGUUAGCGGGUCUGAGAGGAUGAUCCGCCACACUGGCACUGGAACACGGGCCAGACUCCUACGGGAGGCAGCAGUGAGGAAUAUUGCGCAAUGGGGGAAACCCUGACGCAGCGACGCCGCGUGAAGUGAGGAAGGCCUUCGGGUCGUAAAGCUCUGUCAAGAGGAAAGAAGUGUACAAUGGCUAAUACCUGUUGUAUUUGACGGUACCUCUAAAGGAAGCACCGGCUAACUCCGUGCCAGCCGCCGC